Molecule: transfer RNA, 69 nt
Filed under: Ondatra zibethicus (muskrat)
Lineage: Eukaryota; Metazoa; Chordata; Mammalia; Rodentia; Cricetidae
Also listed under: 1 other name
Description: tRNA-Glu
Rfam family: tRNA
About the family: Transfer RNA (tRNA) molecules are approximately 80 nucleotides in length. Their secondary structure includes four short double-helical elements and three loops (D, anti-codon, and T loops).
Source: RNAcentral
GUUUCUAUAGUUGAAUAACAACGAUGAUUUUUCAUGUCAUUGGUCAUAGUUAGAGUCUAUGUAGGAAUU